UUUGUGCAACUCAUGCGUUGAGUCAAAAUCCAUCAACCCAACAUACAUCGGUUGACCCAGCACUUGGGUUGUUUGUGCUUCGAACGUCAUCAGAUCAUCACCAGAGUCCACACACCGAGCGCUUGUCACAGCAGAGAACCAGUCUGGUCAUCCAACGAGGCAAAUAAAUAAUAAAAGAUCAAUGGAUAGCUUUGUCAUUAACACUUUGACAGAGUGCCAGACCUUGUCGAAAGAUUUAAAAGCUUCCAUGUAAUAUGUCAAAGUGACUCCAAUAGAUGAAUAGAGCCGGCCACUGGAUUCCUGGAGGAAAGGCUGCGGAACGUCAGGAAGCGGCUGAGAUCAACCAGCAGGUCGCAGAGCACGGCACAGACACCACCACAAACGCCAGAUGAUGGCGCUCUUGCAAGGGCUCUCA
Perca flavescens (yellow perch) is the source of this 415-nucleotide long non-coding RNA. RefSeq lists it as uncharacterized. The record is from RefSeq and is a predicted model, not a curated record. Lineage: Eukaryota; Metazoa; Chordata; Actinopteri; Perciformes; Percidae. The transcript is spliced from 3 exons.